Molecule: transfer RNA, 74 nt
Filed under: Nocardioidaceae bacterium
Lineage: Bacteria; Bacillati; Actinomycetota; Actinomycetes; Propionibacteriales; Nocardioidaceae
Also listed under: 2 other names
Description: tRNA-Arg
Rfam family: tRNA (bases 18-69)
About the family: Transfer RNA (tRNA) molecules are approximately 80 nucleotides in length. Their secondary structure includes four short double-helical elements and three loops (D, anti-codon, and T loops).
Source: RNAcentral
AGCUCAGGGGCACGCGUUGGCUGAAAAGCAACGGUUUCCUAAACCGUGUGCCGCAGGUUCGAAUCCUGCCGGGG